RNAcentral lists this transfer RNA (71 nucleotides) under Ornithorhynchus anatinus (platypus). It matches the Rfam family "tRNA". From Rfam's summary of the family: Transfer RNA (tRNA) molecules are approximately 80 nucleotides in length. Their secondary structure includes four short double-helical elements and three loops (D, anti-codon, and T loops). The record is from Rfam by way of RNAcentral. Lineage: Eukaryota; Metazoa; Chordata; Mammalia; Monotremata; Ornithorhynchidae.
GGCAUCGUGGCUCAGUGGAAAGAGCACGGGCUUUGGAGUCGGCGGUCAUGGGUUCGAAUCCCACUCUGCCA